UAAAUUGCUAAGAAGGAAAGUAGUAGGUAGCUAUAGUCUGUAGAGAGCCAUCGUAAGGUGAAAGAUGGCGGCUGAAUGACCGAACUCGUUCUGGAGCUGUUUUUGUGAAAGCAAAAACCGGAUCGCUUCCGUUAAAGGCUUUGAGUGGAUUGCCUAGGCAAUCAAAUAGAGUGGUAUCGCGGGUUCUUCGUCUCUAAC
RNAcentral lists this non-coding RNA (198 nucleotides) under Clostridiales bacterium. RNAcentral describes it as "T-box sequence". It matches the Rfam family "T-box leader". Rfam says of the family: Uncharged tRNA acts as the effector for transcription antitermination of genes in the T-box leader family. T-boxes are found upstream of many aminoacyl-tRNA synthetase genes and some amino acid biosynthetic genes usually in Gram-positive bacteria. The anticodon of a specific tRNA base pairs to a specifier sequence within the T-box motif, and the NCCA acceptor tail of the tRNA base pairs to a conserved bulge in the T-box antiterminator hairpin. The record is from RNAcentral. Lineage: Bacteria; Bacillati; Bacillota; Clostridia; Eubacteriales.